This 454-nucleotide ribosomal RNA is filed under the name Neisseria pharyngis. RNAcentral's name for it is "bacterial SSU rRNA". It matches the Rfam family "Bacterial small subunit ribosomal RNA", at positions 30 to 484 of the family's 1533-position model. The record is from RNAcentral. Lineage: Bacteria; Pseudomonadati; Pseudomonadota; Betaproteobacteria; Neisseriales; Neisseriaceae.
AUUGAACGCUGGCGGCAUGCUUUACACAUGCAAGUCGGACGGCAGCACAGAGAAGCUUGCUUCUUGGGUGGCGAGUGGCGAACGGGUGAGUAACAUAUCGGAACGUACCGAGCAGUGGGGGAUAACUAAUCGAAAGAUUAGCUAAUACCGCAUAUAUUCUGAGGAAGAAAGCAGGGGACCAUUUGGCCUUGCGCUGUUUGAGCGGCCGAUAUCUGAUUAGCUAGUUGGUGGGGUAAAGGCCUACCAAGGCGACGAUCAGUAGCGGGUCUGAGAGGAUGAUCCGCCACACUGGGACUGAGACACGGCCCAGACUCCUACGGGAGGCAGCAGUGGGGAAUUUUGGACAAUGGGCGCAAGCCUGAUCCAGCCAUGCCGCGUGUCUGAAGAAGGCCUUCGGGUUGUAAAGGACUUUUGUCAGGGAAGAAAAGGACAGGGUUAAUACCCCUGUCUGAUG